UACGUAGGGGGCAAGCGUUGUCCGGAUUUAUUGGGCGUAAAGAGCGUGUAGGCGGCUAUACAGGUCCGCUGUGAAAACUCGAGGCUCAACCUCGAGACGUCGGUGGAAACCGUAUGGCUAGAGUCCGGAAGAGGAGAGUGGAAUUCCUGGUGUAGCGGUGAAAUGCGCAGAUAUCAGGAAGAACACCCGUGGCUAAGGCGGCUCUCUAGUACGGUACUGACGCUGAGACGCGAAAGCGUGGGGAGCGAACAGG
RNAcentral lists this ribosomal RNA (253 nucleotides) under uncultured bacterium. Its description in RNAcentral is "partial 16S ribosomal RNA". It matches the Rfam family "Bacterial small subunit ribosomal RNA", at positions 524 to 776 of the family's 1533-position model. The record is from RNAcentral.